AGCAUCCGUAGCCGGUUGCAUAAGUUUUCGGUUAAAUCUAUGCGCUCAACGUAUAGGCCGCCGAAAAUACUGUGCAGCUAGGGAGUGGGAGAGGUACACGGUACUCAGUAGGAAGGGGUAAAAUCCUUUGAUCUAUUGAUGACCACCUGUGGCGAAGGCGGUGUACCAGAACACGUUCGACGGUGAGGGAUGAAAGCUGGGGGAGCAAACCGGAUUAGAUACCCGGGUAGUCCCAGCUGUAAACGAUGCAGACUCGGUGAUGCAUUGGCUUGUGGCCAAUGCAGUGCCGCAGGGAAGCCGUUAAGUCUGCCGCCUGGGAAGUACGUACGCAAGUAUGAAACUUAAAGGAAUUGGCGGGGGAGCACAA
RNAcentral lists this ribosomal RNA (367 nucleotides) under uncultured Nitrososphaerota archaeon. RNAcentral's name for it is "bacterial SSU rRNA". It matches the Rfam family "Archaeal small subunit ribosomal RNA", at positions 514 to 881 of the family's 1478-position model. Lineage: Archaea; Thermoproteati; Nitrososphaerota. The record is from RNAcentral.